RNAcentral lists this ribosomal RNA (494 nucleotides) under uncultured bacterium. RNAcentral describes it as "partial 16S ribosomal RNA". It matches the Rfam family "Bacterial small subunit ribosomal RNA", at positions 28 to 507 of the family's 1533-position model. The record is from RNAcentral.
GACGAACGCUGGCGGCGUGCUUAACACAUGCAAGUCGAACGGAAAGGCCUGCUUUCCCUUGUGGAUUGCGGGUACUCGAGUGGCGAACGGGUGAGUAACACGUGAGUGAUCUGCCCCCAACUUGGGUAUAAGCCUGGGAAACUGGGUCUAAUUCCCGAUAGGACUGCAGGGUGGUGCCUGUGGUGGAAAACGAUUUUCUAGUGGUUGGGGAUGAGCUCGCGGCCUAUCAGCUUGUUGGUGGGGUAAUGGCCUACCAAGGCGGCGACGGGUAGCCGGCCUGAGAGGGUGGACGGCCACAUUGGGACUGAGAUACGGCCCAGACUCCUACGGGCGGCAGCAGUGGGGAAUAUUGCACAAUGGGCGGAAGCCUGAUGCAGCGACGCUGCGUGGGGGAUGACGGCCUUCGGGUUGUAAACUCCUUUCGACCGCGAGGAAGCCACCUGGUUGGAAGGGUGGUGACGGUAGUGGUAGAAGAAGCACCGGCUAACUACGUG